This 499-nucleotide ribosomal RNA is filed under the name uncultured bacterium. RNAcentral's name for it is "bacterial SSU rRNA". It matches the Rfam family "Bacterial small subunit ribosomal RNA", at positions 8 to 518 of the family's 1533-position model. The record is from RNAcentral.
AGAGUUUGAUUCUGGCUCAGGAUGAACGCUGGCGGCGCGCCUAACACAUGCAAGUCGAACGGUUAAAGCCCCUUCGGGGGUGCAUAAAGUGGCGAACGGCUGAGUAACACGUGGGCAACCUGCCCCCCGCUUCGGGAUAGCCUCGGGAAACCGUGGGUAAUACCGGAUACUCCGCCCACCCCGCAUGGGGAGGGCGGGGAAGCGCAUACGGCGGGGGAUGGGCCCGCGGCCUGUUAGCUCGUUGGCGGGGUAACGGCCCACCAAGGCUAUUAUGGGUAGCCGGGUUGAGAGACCGACCGGCCAGAUUGGGACUGAGACACGGCCCAGACUCCUACGGGAGGCAGCAGUGGGGAAUCUUGCACAAUGGGCGAAAGCCUGAUGCCAGCGACGCCGCGUGCGGGACGAAGGCCCUCGGGUUGUAAACCGCUUUCAGCAGGGACGAGGCGCAAGUGACGGUACCUGCAGAAGAAGCCCCGGCUAACUACGUGCCAGCCGCCGC